GACAUCCCAAAACACAGCAGCAGUCUGGUUGCCAUAGCAAUCCAUAUUAGCUCAACCAGCACUUCCACGACCUCAGGAUUGGAAUGCUGUUCAUUGGCAGGGGAAUGGAACUGAGAAAUCAGGAGCCAUACAGGGUAUUGAUAAAAUCCUCAAUGUAAAGCUACCCUCAGCAACAGGAGCCGUGACAACGAGCAGUAAUUGUCGCGAAACCCCAUCUGGUUCGCCCUAUAGUGAAGG
Long non-coding RNA from Rhincodon typus (whale shark), 237 nucleotides. RefSeq lists it as uncharacterized. NCBI's taxonomy places the organism in Eukaryota, Metazoa, Chordata, Chondrichthyes, Orectolobiformes, Rhincodontidae. The record is from RefSeq and is a predicted model, not a curated record. The transcript is spliced from 3 exons.